GAUGAACGCUGGCGGCGUGCCUAAUACAUGCAAGUCGAGCGAACGGACGAGAAGCUUGCUUCUCUGAUGUUAGCGGCGGACGGGUGAGUAACACGUGGAUAACCUACCUAUAAGACUGGGAUAACUUCGGGAAACCGGAGCUAAUACCGGAUAAUAUUUUGAACCGCAUGGUUCAAAAGUGAAAGACGGUCUUGCUGUCACUUAUAGAUGGAUCCGCGCCGCAUUAGCUAGUUGGUAAGGUAACGGCUUACCAAGGCGACGAUGCGUAGCCGACCUGAGAGGGUGAUCGGCCACACUGGAACUGAGACACGGUCCAGACUCCUACGGGAGGCAGCAGUAGGGAAUCUUCCGCAAUGGGCGAAAGCCUGACGGAGCAACGCCGCGUGAGUGAUGAAGGUCUUCGGAUCGUAAAACUCUGUUAUUAGGGAAGAACAAAUGUGUAAGUAACUAUGCACGUCUUGACGGUACCUAAUCAGAAAGCCACGGCUAACUACGUG
Molecule: ribosomal RNA, 497 nt
Filed under: uncultured bacterium
Lineage: Bacteria
Description: partial 16S ribosomal RNA
Rfam family: Bacterial small subunit ribosomal RNA
Source: RNAcentral